Talpa occidentalis (Iberian mole) is the source of this 103-nucleotide small nuclear RNA. The record is from RefSeq and is a predicted model, not a curated record. NCBI's taxonomy places the organism in Eukaryota, Metazoa, Chordata, Mammalia, Eulipotyphla, Talpidae.
GUGCUUGCUUCUGCAACACAUAUACUAAAAUUGGAAUGAUGAAAGAUAAGCAUGGCUCCUGUGCAGGGGUGACGUGCAAAUCUAUGAAGCAGUCCAUGUUUAA